CCUUAAUAGCGGCUGCACCAUUAGGAUGUCCUGAUCCAACAUCGAGGUCGUAAACCCCCUCGUCGAUAGGGACUCUGGGAGAGGAUUGCGCUGUUAUCCCUAGGGUAACUCGGUCCGUUGAUCGGCGUUCGCCGGAUCAUUUUUGGUCAGAAAUUCUGGUGCUUAGAGUUGUGGCUCUUGGUUGUGGGGGCAGUGCCCCCAGUCCACAUGGGGGCUUUGUUUUCCCCCGCGGUCGCCCCAACCAAAGACAUAGGGGCUAGGGGUCACUGUGUUUUUACUUGUUAAUUCAAGGUUACUUGACGUGAUCUGCCUGGUGUCUAAAGCUCCAUAGGGUCUUCUCGUCUUAUGUAUUUAUGUCCGCUUCUGCACGGGCAGAUCAAUUUCAUUGACUUGGAAGAGGAGACAGCUAAGCCCUCGUGAUGCCAUUCAUACAGGUCUUCAUUUAAAAGAC
Molecule: ribosomal RNA, 451 nt
Filed under: Salmo trutta fario
Lineage: Eukaryota; Metazoa; Chordata; Actinopteri; Salmoniformes; Salmonidae
Description: partial 16S ribosomal RNA
Source: RNAcentral